Molecule: ribosomal RNA, 433 nt
Filed under: uncultured bacterium
Lineage: Bacteria
Description: partial 16S ribosomal RNA
Rfam family: Bacterial small subunit ribosomal RNA
Source: RNAcentral
AACGAACGCUGGCGGCAUGCCUAACACAUGCCAGUCGAACGAGACCUUCGGGUCUAGUGGCGCACGGGUGCGUAACGCGUGGGAACCUGCCCUUAGGUUCGGAAUAACUCCCCGAAAGGGGUGCUAAUACCAGAUAAUGUCUUCGGACCAAAGAUUUAUCGCCUUUGGAUGGGCCCGCGUUGGAUUAGCUAGUUGGUAGGGUAAAAGCCUACCAAGGCGACGAUCCAUAGCUGGUCUGAGAGGAUGAUCAGCAACACUGGGACUGAGACACGGCCCAGACUCAUACGGGAGGCAGCAGUGGGGAAUAUUGCACAAGGGGCGAGAGUCUGAUCCAGCAAUGCCGCGUGAAUGAUGAAGGCCUUAGGGUUGUAAAGCUCUUUUACCCGGGAUGAUAAUGACAGUACCGGGAGAAUAAGCUCCGGCUAACUCCGUG